Molecule: long non-coding RNA, 96 nt
Organism: Octopus sinensis (East Asian common octopus)
Lineage: Eukaryota; Metazoa; Mollusca; Cephalopoda; Octopoda; Octopodidae
Exons: 3
Source: RefSeq, a predicted model, not a curated record
AAAGGAUGAAAGGCAAAAAUUGACCUCGGCAGAAUUUGAACUCGGAACGUAAAGACAUACAAAAUACUGCUAUGCAUUUCGUCCGGCAUGCUAACA